RNAcentral lists this ribosomal RNA (522 nucleotides) under uncultured bacterium. RNAcentral describes it as "bacterial SSU rRNA". It matches the Rfam family "Bacterial small subunit ribosomal RNA", at positions 524 to 1050 of the family's 1533-position model. The record is from RNAcentral.
CACGUAGGGGGCGAGCGUUGUUCGGAAUUAUUGGGCGUAAAGGGUGCGCAGGCUGCAUAGGUAGUCUGAUGUAAAAUGUCUCGGCUUAACCGAGGCCUGCCAUUGGAAACUGCUAUGCUAGAGUACAGGAGGGGGAGUUGGAAUUCCAGGUGUAGGGGUGAAAUCUGUAGAUAUCUGGAGGAACAUCGGUGGCGAAGGCGAACUUCUGGCCAUGUACUGACGCUGAGGCACGAAGGCGUGGGGAGCAAACAGGUUUAGAUACCCUGGUAGUCCACGCAGUAAACGAUGUACACUAGGUGGUGGGAGUUACUCUCAGUACCGAAGCUAACGCAUUAAGUGUACCGCCUGGGGAGUAUGCUCGCAAGGGUGAAACUCAAAGGAAUUGACGGGGGCCCGCACAAGCGGUGGAGCAUGUGGUUUAAUUCGAUGAUACGCGAGGAACCUUACCAGGGUUUGACAUACGAUGGAAUGGGAGAGAGAUUUUCCAGCCUUUCGGGGUCGUCGUACAGGUGCUGCAUGGCU